UGAACAGGGCUUUUAUUCAACAUCAAAUAGGGAAAUACUGCAGAAAACAAGAUAGCAGUCUCUUGGAAGUUACCAACACCAGAAUGGGGAAAACAGUCCUAGGAACC
This is a long non-coding RNA of Perognathus longimembris pacificus (Pacific pocket mouse), 107 nucleotides long. RefSeq lists it as uncharacterized. Lineage: Eukaryota; Metazoa; Chordata; Mammalia; Rodentia; Heteromyidae. The record is from RefSeq and is a predicted model, not a curated record. The transcript has 3 exons.